Molecule: ribosomal RNA, 468 nt
Filed under: uncultured bacterium
Lineage: Bacteria
Description: partial 16S ribosomal RNA
Rfam family: Bacterial small subunit ribosomal RNA
Source: RNAcentral
GACGAACGCUGGCGGCGUGCUUAACACAUGCAAGUCGAACGGAAAGGCCCUGCUUUUGUGGGGUGCUCGAGUGGCGAACGGGUGAGUAACACGUGAGUAACCUGCCCUUGACUUUGGGAUAACUUCAGGAAACUGGGGCUAAUACCGGAUAGGAGCUCCUGCUGCAUGGUGGGGGUUGGAAAGUUUCGGCGGUUGGGGAUGGACUCGCGGCUUAUCAGCUUGUUGGUGGGGUAGUGGCUUACCAAGGCUUUGACGGGUAGCCGGCAUGAGAGGGUGACCGGCGACCAUGGGACUGAGAUACGGACCAGACUCCUACGGGAGGCAGCAGUGGGGAAUAUUGCACAAUGGGCGGAAGCCUGAUGCCACAACGCCGCGGGCGGGAUGACGGCCUUUGGGUUGUAAACAGCUUUCGCCUGUGACGAAGCGUGAGUGACGGUAAUGGGUAAAGAAGCACCGGCUAACUACGUG